AUUGAACGCUGGCGGCAUGCCUUACACAUGCAAGUCGAACGGCAGCACGGGAGCAAUCCUGGUGGCGAGUGGCGAACGGGUGAGUAAAGUAUCGGAACGUGCCCAGUCGCGGGGGAUAACGUAGCGAAAGUUACGCUAAUACCGCAUACGAUCUAUGGAUGAAAGCGGGGGAUCGCAAGACCUCGCGCGAUUGGAGCGGCCGAUAUCAGAUUAGGUAGUUGGUGGGGUAAAGGCCCACCAAGCCGACGAUCUGUAGCUGGUCUGAGAGGACGACCAGCCAUACUGGGACUGAGACACGGCCCAGACUCCUACGGGAGGCAGCAGUGGGGAAUUUUGGACAAUGGGCGAAAGCCUGAUCCAGCCAUGCCGCGUGCAGGAUGAAGGCCUUCGGGUUGUAAACUGCUUUUGUACGGAACGAAAAGGACUGCCCUAAUACGGUGGUCCCAUGACGGUACCGUAAGAAUAAGCACCGGCUAACUACGUGCCAGCAGCCGCGGUAA
This 500-nucleotide ribosomal RNA is filed under the name uncultured bacterium. RNAcentral describes it as "partial 16S ribosomal RNA". It matches the Rfam family "Bacterial small subunit ribosomal RNA", at positions 30 to 523 of the family's 1533-position model. The record is from RNAcentral.